Molecule: long non-coding RNA, 263 nt
Organism: Ipomoea nil (Japanese morning glory)
Lineage: Eukaryota; Viridiplantae; Streptophyta; Magnoliopsida; Solanales; Convolvulaceae
Exons: 2
Source: RefSeq, a predicted model, not a curated record
GUGCUCUUGACUAUAGUAUUUAAAAAAAACAAAACCUCAUAGUUUAAGAAAUACCAUUGGAAGGGGCUUAGGCUUUUGGUACUUCUAUACCACCCCCCCCCCCCCCCCCCCCCAAACAUGUUUGUGUGUGUAUGUGUCUGUAUCAUCACUAUGUAUGCUCUUCACUAGUAGCAGAUUUAACAACAGUAGGAAAUGAGAUGCAAAGCUCCGAGUUCAACCAAGCUCUAAUUUUUUGAGUACGAGCUCGACUUGAAUAAAGAUUU